AUACUCUUAUGAGUAGUGGACCCUUACUACUCAUAAGUUGUUUUCGAUGAUGGAGCUUCCGAAUCGACGAUCCACUCCGUUAAAUAUGAUCUAGAGCAUUUAAAACUUCUAGAAAUUAAAUUUCAUAAUUUUUCGACAUCAUUUACCUUAUGAUCAAAAGCUCACAAAAUUGACAAUUUUUAACGGCCGGUAUGGGAUACUUGCUAGUUUAACGGUGGAAAAGAAUCGGAAUAGGUUGAAUUUUUGAUAGAAAAUUCUAUACACUACCUAGAUAAAGAUCAAUAACUCCGAUCUUAAAUUGAGGGAUCCGAUCA
This 314-nucleotide long non-coding RNA is filed under the name Ananas comosus (pineapple). RNAcentral describes it as "long non-coding RNA (ACOM_LNC030941)". Lineage: Eukaryota; Viridiplantae; Streptophyta; Magnoliopsida; Poales; Bromeliaceae. The record is from RNAcentral.